This 487-nucleotide ribosomal RNA is filed under the name Escherichia coli. RNAcentral's name for it is "bacterial SSU rRNA". It matches the Rfam family "Bacterial small subunit ribosomal RNA", at positions 283 to 762 of the family's 1533-position model. RNAcentral also lists the same sequence under 1 other name. The record is from RNAcentral. Lineage: Bacteria; Pseudomonadati; Pseudomonadota; Gammaproteobacteria; Enterobacterales; Enterobacteriaceae.
CUAGCUGGUCUGAGAGGAUGACCAGCCACACUGGAACUGAGACACGGUCCAGACUCCUACGGGAGGCAGCAGUGGGGAAUAUUGCACAAUGGGCGCAAGCCUGAUGCAGCCAUGCCGCGUGUAUGAAGAAGGCCUUCGGGUUGUAAAGUACUUUCAGCGGGGAGGAAGGGAGUAAAGUUAAUACCUUUGCUCAUUGACGUUACCCGCAGAAGAAGCACCGGCUAACUCCGUGCCAGCAGCCGCGGUAAUACGGAGGGUGCAAGCGUUAAUCGGAAUUACUGGGCGUAAAGCGCACGCAGGCGGUUUGUUAAGUCAGAUGUGAAAUCCCCGGGCUCAACCUGGGAACUGCAUCUGAUACUGGCAAGCUUGAGUCUCGUAGAGGGGGGUAGAAUUCCAGGUGUAGCGGUGAAAUGCGUAGAGAUCUGGAGGAAUACCGGUGGCGAAGGCGGCCCCCUGGACGAAGACUGACGCUCAGGUGCGAAAGCGU